UUAAAAAAUCAUACCUGCUCGGUGAAUAUAAAUAUAUUUUAACAGCCGCAGUAGCCUGACUGUGCAAAGGUAGCAUAAUAACUUGCUUUGUAAUUUAAGGCUAGAAUGAAUGGUCUAACGAAGAAAUUAUUGUCUCUUUUUUAUUUUAUAAAAUUUUACUUUUAAGUGAAAAGGCUUAAUUUUUAUUAAUAGACAAGAAGACCCUAUUGAGCUUUAAUAUAAAAUUUAUUUUUAUUUAUUUAUUUUACAUAAUAAAAUAUUUUUAUUUAUUUAAGUUGGGGCAAUUAAAGAUGAUAUAAAUUAUCUUUCGAAUAAAAAAUAUUUGAUCCAGGAUUUACUGAUUAAGAGAAUAAGUUACCAUAGGGAUAACAGCAUAAUUUUUUUGAAGAGUACAUAUUGCGAAAAAAGUUUAUGACCUCGAUGUUGGAUCAAAAUAUCCUGAUAGAUGCAGGCAGUCUAUAA
Molecule: ribosomal RNA, 462 nt
Filed under: Hydroginella sp. MNHN-IM-2013-43736
Lineage: Eukaryota; Metazoa; Mollusca; Gastropoda; Neogastropoda; Marginellidae
Description: partial 16S ribosomal RNA
Rfam family: Bacterial large subunit ribosomal RNA
Source: RNAcentral